CGAAAGGGGCAGUAAGGCGAUGGGUAACCUGCCCCGGACUUCGGAAUAGCCUCCCUAACGGGUGGAUAAUACCGAAUGCCGUGCCGAGGGGGCAUCCCCUUGGCACGAAAGCUCCGGCGGUCCGGGAGGGGCUCAUGUGGUAUUAGCUAGUUGGUGAGGUAACGGCUCACCAAGGCGAAGAUGCCUAGCGGGUGUGAGAGCACGACCCGCGCCACUGGCACUGUGACACUGGCCAGACUCCUACGGGAGGCUGCAGUCGAGGAUCUUCGGCAAUGGGCGAAAGCCUGACCGAGCGAUGCCGCGUGUGCGAUGAAGGCCUUCGGGUUGUAAAGCACUGUCGUGGGGGAGAAAGGGGCAACCCUGAUCGACCCCAGGAGGAAGCUCGGGCUAAGUUCGUGCCAGCAGCCGCGGUAAGACGAACCGAGCGAACGUUAUUCGGAAUCAUUGGGCUUAAAGGGCGCGUAGGCGGGCCUCCAAGUCAGGGGUGAAAUCCCACGGCUCAACCGUGGAAGAGCCUUUGAUACUGGGGGCCUCGAGCGAG
This 541-nucleotide ribosomal RNA is filed under the name uncultured bacterium. RNAcentral's name for it is "bacterial SSU rRNA". It matches the Rfam family "Bacterial small subunit ribosomal RNA", at positions 99 to 650 of the family's 1533-position model. The record is from RNAcentral.